This 292-nucleotide ribosomal RNA is filed under the name uncultured bacterium. Its description in RNAcentral is "partial 16S ribosomal RNA". It matches the Rfam family "Bacterial small subunit ribosomal RNA", at positions 505 to 796 of the family's 1533-position model. The record is from RNAcentral.
GUGUCAGCAGCCGCGGUAAGACGAACCGUGCGAACGUUGUUCGGAAUCACUGGGCUUAAAGGGCGCGUAGGUGGUUUGCCAAGUCGGGGUUGAAAUCUUUCGGCUCAACCGGAAAAGUGGCUUCGAUACUGGCAAGCUGGAGGGAGGUAGGGGCGGAUGGAACUUCCGGUGGAGCGGUGAAAUGUGUUGAUAUCGGAAGGAACGCCGGUGGCGAAAGCGAUCCGCUGGACCUCUUCUGACACUGAGGCGCGAAAGCCAGGGGAGCAAACGGGAUUAGAUACCCCAGUAGUCC